GAAAUAGAAUGGAAAAUUAAACAAAUGAGACAAAAAACAUUUGAAUCAGCUAACAAAUGUGGGAAAUUGCUGGCCUGGCAAAUGAAAAAAUGACAAAAAUUAAAUACUAUUACAAAUUUAGAAGUGGAAGGAAAGAAUAUACAUAACCCAACUGAGAUUAGAAAUUGUUUCCAGAGGUACUUUAAACAACUAUAUACACAAGGGCCACAGAAGGAAAUGGCUAUAGACCGAUUUCUGAAGACAAAUGGAUUACAGAAAAUAUCCCAAGAAAGUAAGUUAAUCCUGAAUUAUAAAAUAUCUGAACAGGAAGUAGAAGGUGCCAUUCAAAAUAUGCAAUUAGGCAAAUCUCCAGGACCGGAUGGGCUGACUUCUAGAUAUUAGAGAUCUUUGAAAGAGUGGCUAUUACAACCUUUGAAGGAAGUCUGCAAUGAAAUAUUGGAAGGGAAAAGGGCACCAGAGUCUUGGAAAGAGGCACACAUUACACUUAUACCGAAGACAGAGACUGAAAAGACUCCGCUUAAGAACUAUCGCCCCAUAUCGUUACUUAAUGUGGAUUACAAAAUUUUUGCAGACAUUUUGGCCAAGAGAUUGAAAAAAGUAUUGAUGGAAGAGAUUCAUAAAGACCAAGCGGGCUUUCUCCCGGGAAGACACUUGUCCGAUAAUUUGAGGAAUAUAAUUGAUAUUUUGGAAAACUAGAAGUGAACAUAAAUACUAAAGCAGUUUUGAUAUUUGUGGACGCGGAGAAAGCUUUUGACAAUAUCACUUGGAGUUUUAUGAAGAAGAACCUACAGGGGAUGGGGGUAGGCCAAGGUUUUGAAAACGGUAUAAGUGCAAUUUAUUCAGAACAAAAGGCUAAACUAAUUGUAAAUAAUGUGGUGACGGAAGAAUUUAGGAUAGAAAAAGGGACAAGACAAGGUUGCCCAAUUUCCCCACUGCUUUUUAUAUCGGUCCUGGAGGUUCUGCUGAAUAUGAUUAGAAGGGACCGGUUGGUUAAAGGUAUACAGGUCGGAGCCAAACAGUACAAAUUGAGAGCAUUUGCAGAUGACUUAGUAUUGACGUUACAGGAGCCAGAAUCUAGUACUAAAAGAGUUUUAGAACUGAUUCAAGAAUUUGGUCAAGUUGCAGGAUUUAAGUUGAAUAAGUUAAAGACCAAGGUUUUAGAGAAAAACUUAACACCAAUGGAGAGAGAGAGGUUUCAGAAUGAGACAGGUUUAACAGUGGUUAAGAAAGUUAAAUACUUGGGGAUUAACAUGACAGCAAAAAAAUGGGAAUUUAUUUAAAGACAACUAUGAAAAAUGCUGGGCUGAAGUGAAAAAGAUUUAGAAAUUUGGUCAAAUUUGAAGCUUUCACUGCUGGGCCGUAUUGCUGCGGUAAAAAUGAAUGUAUUGCCUAGAAUGUUGUUUUUGUUUCAAACACUGCAAAUUGUGGACAAAAUGGACUGUUUCAAGAGGUGGCAGAGAGAUAUUUCUAAAUUUGUCUGGCAGGGCAAGAAGCCUAGAAUAAAAUUUAAAAUAUUAACAGAUGCAAUGGAACGAGGUGGAUUUGCCCUGCCAGACUUUAAACUUUACUAUGAAUCAGCAGCUUUUUGCUGGUUGAAAGAAUGGUUGCUUCUUGAAAACACUGACAUUUUGGAUUUAGAAGGUUUUAACAAUGUAUUUGGAUGGCAUGCAUAUCUGUGGUAUGAUAAGGUCAAAGCACAUAAAGCAUUUAAAAAUCACAUUGUCAGGAAAGCAUUGUUUAAUGUCUGGAUAAGAUACAAGGACUUAUUGGAAAAUAAAACUCCAAGGUGGUUGUCACCGAUGGAAGCAAAAGCUCUGAAAAAGCUCAAUAUGGAGGCCAAAUGGCCGAAAUAUUGGGAAAUUUUGGAACAAGACGGAGAUAGACUGAAAUUGCAGAGUUUUGAGAAAUUAAAAAACAAAGUGCGAGAUUGGCUUCAUUAUUACCAGAUAGUGGAGGCAUAUAAGUUGGAUAAGAAAAUUGGUUUCCAGGUGGAAAAAUCAAAAUUAGAAACAGAACUAUUAGAACCCAAAACUAAGAUUUUGUCAAAGAUGUAUAACUUGCUGUUGAAAUGGAAUACUCAGGAUGAAACGGUGAAAUCUGCUAUGAUUAAACUUUUUUCAUGUAUGCCACAACAGCAGCAAGAAUACUCAUUGCAAAGUAUUGGAAGACACAAGAUCUACCCACUCUGGAAGAAUGGCAGAUGAAGUUGAUGGACUAUAUGGAACUGGCAGAAAUGACUGGCAGGAUCCGAGACCAGGGAGAAGAGUCGGUGGAAGAAGAUUGGAA
This 2286-nucleotide long non-coding RNA is filed under the name Podarcis lilfordi (Lilford's wall lizard). Lineage: Eukaryota; Metazoa; Chordata; Lepidosauria; Squamata; Lacertidae. The record is from RNAcentral.